Molecule: long non-coding RNA, 3540 nt
Organism: Peromyscus californicus insignis
Lineage: Eukaryota; Metazoa; Chordata; Mammalia; Rodentia; Cricetidae
Exons: 3
Source: RefSeq, a predicted model, not a curated record
UUUCCAUGUGUUAACUCACAGAUUCCCAGACGUGAACAGAGUCUCCUCCCCUUCAGAUGCUGCUGCUGGAGGAUUAGCUCGUCAGAAACAGAAUGCAGAGAGACUCGCCAAAGCCAGGCUUCUUGGAGACCCGGAUUUUAAAUUUGUAGCUACUCUAUUUCCCACUCGCAGGGAAACCCACAGAGACAGCUGACUGGAGCUAGUGCGAGCUCACCGACUCUGCAUGGAUGGCUGGGGAACCUGCAGGGGACCGAAACAGGCCCUUUCAAUAUUCCUGCUUCGAGUUCCCACCCUGACAGCCCUUCAUGACUGACUAUAAUCUUCAAGGCAGGGUAACUCCUCUUCAAAACUAGCAAGCUCAUCACACCUCGGCUAAAGCAACCCUGAAUGCAACCAGCCAGCAUUCACUGAAGACAACCUGCUUAUUACAUCAGCUGCUACUGGGGAAAUAACCUAGAUGUUUUUGAGAUUUAUUGUCAAUAAUCACCCUUCAAGAACACUUUAUCAAAAUACUAUUAACAACAGAUGAGUGACAGUGCCAGGCAAGGUCCUGAUACCUUUACACAUGGUCUUCAGUGUAGUAAUGAACAGUAAUACUAUAUAGUAAUAAUAACUAUUUCAGUGAAGAAUGAAUAAUGUUUUAAGUUAUUAAAAUUCAUUAAAAUGAUCCUCAGUGUUAUAAACUAAUCCUGAGAAUAGUUUGGUAAUUAAAUAAAAUAAUAUUUUUGGAAACAGAGUCUUACUAUAUAGUCCUGGCUAUCCUAGAAUUCUCUGUGUAGACCAGGCUGGCCUCUGCCUCCUAAGUGGUACAAUUAAAGGUGUAUACCACCACACCUGGCCAAAUAAUCUUUUAAAACCAUUUUAUGGUUCAUGUCUUUAAUCCCAGCACUCAGGAGGCAGAGGCAGGUGGGUCUCUGUGAGUUUGAGGCUAGCCUGGUCUACUUAAUGAGUUCCAGGAUAGCCAAGGAUACACAAUGAAACUCUGUUUAAAAAAAAAAAUAUGAACCAGAGUGAUGGCUCAGCAGGUAAAGGUGCGUGCCACCAAGUCUGAUGUGAUGACUGGAAUCCGGUCUAUAGUCCCCACAUGGUGGAGGCAGAGAACCAACUCCUAAAUUUGUCCUCUGACCUCCACACAUGUGCCAUGGCAUGUGCACACACACAAAAUAAAUAAACAAACAAAUGUAGAAAGGUUUAAAAAUCACUUUGCAUCCCCAAUAAACUCAAUAAAUGUAUGUUCAUAUAAUAGACAAGUAAAAUACCAAGCAUAUAUAUGUGUGUAUGUAACAUUUUAUUUCAUGAAAUAGUGAUGAACUUUCUGCUUCCAAAAUGAUAAGCAUAUCAAAAUCCACCACAAUGCUGUGCUUCAGAUUUUCCCACUGAAGGACGGUCCUAUCUGUCAUCUAGAGUCUAUUAGGAACUACUUUGGCUGAGCCCUGAAACUGAGCUCUCAUGUAUCAGUUACCCAGGAUUGAUCUGACAUUUGCUUCCUGCCAGCAAUCAUGCAAACAGAUCCCGAGAAUCACCUUUUAAAAAUACAGUUGCAAAAACAUGAAAUUGACCUUUGUAGGAAGCAGGGGUUUAUGAAGCUAGGACUGAAAGGUGUGUGCAAAAAUAAGAACUUAAGAUUGGGGAGCCUGUGGCAACCUUAGGCUCCCUCUGUGUGGCAUCUGCAGGUGGCCAGAGCACACUGAAUUGAAGAGAAAGCUUUUUCUUCCUAGAAAAAUAGAUAGAGUGGAACAGAAGCAGGAGGUGGUCAUAAGUCCCUAUUCUCUCCUUAAACCUACUUGAAAAGAAAGACUGAAAUAUUAAAACCAGAAGAUCCUACCAGCCAUGUCUUCCAACAACUGGUUUACAGACCAGAAAACUGGGCCAAAGGGUGAUUGACUCAGGUCCAAGCUUCUCCACUCCAUGGCAUCUCUCCUCCUCUCCCAUGUGACAUUUAUGGAUAAUGUCCAUCUAGGGAGGUUUUGCUGGUGGGGAUGGACUUGGGUCCUCUGCCACUGAGAGGCAGUCAAGGUGAAAGUAAUUUUCUGAUUCCUGAUACAGUCUAGCACAGGUCACUUGGAGGGUGACGAGGGUUCCAGACCUCUAAGGAACACUGAGCACAUGCAGGGGAACUAGAAUUCACUCCAGACCCCUCCUUCUGGACAAGUGGCUGACACAGAUGUUCUGGGCUUCAGCAUUAACUUCAUCAUGACAGCUAUGAACAGUUACAGAUAGCCUGGCUUGCUCCAAAAAUUGCUUCCUACAGUCUUUUUUUAAAAAAAAAAAUAAUAAUUAUUAUUAUUAUUUUAAUUUCAUGUGCAUUGGUGUUUUACCUGCAUUUAUGUCUGUGUGAGGGUGUCAGAUCCACCAGAACUGGAGUUACAGAGAGUUGUGAACUGCCAUGUGGGUGCUGAGAAUUGAACACUGCUCCUUUAGAAGAGCAGCCAGUGCUCUUAACUGCUGAGCCAUCUCUCCAACCCAAAAUGUGUAGCUCAGGCUUGCUUCAAACUCAUAAUCCUUCUGCCUCUGCCUGCUUCAGCAAAUCCUACAUGUGUGUGCGCGCCACUUAGAGUCUUAAUAGAAAGUGAAAUUAAGCUCAAAGAAUUCAUGUACUAUGCAGGAUCUGUGACUCACAUUAAUACAGCAGACAUCUGUGCAGUCACCCACAGGUUUGAGGACUCCCACAGGUGCCCAGGUCCCUCCUAAAAAAUCCAUUUGCCUGGAACCUCCAUGAACCCUUCAGCACGCUUUCCAUCAUCCGUAGAUAAUGUGAAGCAUGCUAGGCACCUACAGAGCACUGCGUCUGUGUGGAUUCAGCAUAGGGCUCAGGGUAUGGCAACUCCAAACGUUGCUUUUGGGAGCUGUCUUAUCUUGCUUUCUGUUGCAGUGAUAAACACCAUGACCAAAAGCAACUUGGGGAAGGAAGGCUUUAUUUCACUUCGAAACUAUGGUCCAUCAUCAAGGACAGUGGGAAAAAGAACUUGAGGUAGGAACCUAGAGGCAGCAGCUAAUGCAGAGGCCAUGGAGGGGUGCUGCUUACUAGCUUGCUCCCUAUGGCUUACUUAGCCUGCUUUCUUAUACCACCCAGGACUACCUGUCCCGGGAUGGCACUGUCCACAGGGGGCUGGAUUCCUUCCAUGUCAACCAUUAAUCAUGAAGAUGCUGCACAGGCUUGCGUACCGGUCAGUCCGAUGGCUUCAUUUUCUCGACCGAGAUUGCUUCUUCUCAGUUGUUGCUGGCAUGUGUCAGGUUGGCACAAAAACCUAACUGAUAACACUAACAUUUUGGAUUUUUUCCCAAAAAAAUAUUUUUCAUCUGUGGUUGUUUGACUGUAAAAACCAUGACUUAUGCAUAUUAUCUUAUCUCAAAUACUAUAUAUUUAAGUGCACAUGUCUUAAGUAUCUUUUGAUUAGAAAAAUAUACCAGACUAUAAAUGCCUGCAUUUACACAUAUAUGCAUUUUUGUAUAACAGUUGGAUUUGUACAUCAGUCUAUUUAUAUUAACAAGAUCGUGUGUGAUUCUAUUCUAGAAAUAAAAUGAACUCUUGAACUGCCA